This 935-nucleotide long non-coding RNA is filed under the name Homo sapiens (human). RNAcentral's name for it is "HSALNT0296667". The record is from RNAcentral. Lineage: Eukaryota; Metazoa; Chordata; Mammalia; Primates; Hominidae.
GAUACUGAGCAUCCACCUGUGUGAUUGGCACAAUGUGAAAGAGGGGAAAAGAGUGGAGGAGGAAGAGACAGGAGAGCUGAUAUGAAACUCUUGUUAUUUAUGAGGAUCACAAUCAAGAGUUUAAAGACAACCGGUCUCUGCUCCAGCCACACAGGACUUCUUCUAGUACCUUUACUACAUCAUGCCUCCCCUGCCUCAGGCUUCUGCUGGGAUGGAUCGAGCACAUUCACCCUAAAAUUCUGAUUCAGAAGAUCUGAGCCUUCUGAAAAAAAAGCAUUGAGAGCAUAAACCACUCAGAAGAUUUAUAGCUUAAAGCAGAUCACCUUAAGAGCCAGAUUUGGCCGAACAGCAGUAUGAAAUACAUUUAGGUAUGAGUUUCUGAAAGAAGACAACAUAGACAGCACUACUUUCCUCUGCUGUUGACAUCAGUCCCAGUGUGUCUUUGCACUAAUGGCUAACUAGAGCCAUGUAGUUAUGGACAAUUACUCCUGACUCCCUUAGAACUAUGAACAGUGAAUUAAUGGAACUCUAAGAACUCACACAUUGGCUCCCAGUGUCCCUAUGACCCAAAGCUGGAUCUGUUCCUUACAGAAUUGAGAAUGACUGCAAUAGGAAACACAGUGAAAUCAAAAGUACCCUCAUCAACUCACUCUGUCACAAACUUCCUCCAAAUGUGUUAAUGAUUUUCUGAGACACAUUUUCAAAGGAUUAUUUAUAAGAACGAGACAAAAUUAAGCCAAAGUCCAUAUUACGUGAAACUUCAUCUCCUAGGCUUUGUAAAUAAAAGCUAAAGGAUACAGGACACAUCUGACCCAGGAAUCUAAGCAAGUAACAUACUACCUGGCUAAUCCAGUUGAGGUGAAGGUCACAAUACUGAAUUUGAAUAUGCUGUGUUCUCUACUGUAAAUAAAGUAUUUUGUUUAUCUUUUCAUGCC